UGGGGAAUUUUGCACAAUGGGGGAAACCCUGAUGCAGCGACGCCGCGUGAUUUAGAAGGCCUUCGGGUUGUAAAAAUCUUUUCUAUGGUAAGAAAAUGACAGUACCAUAGGAAUAAGGACCGGCUAAUUACGUGCCAGCAGCCGCGGUAAUACGUAAGGUCCGAGCGUUGUCCGGAAUCAUUGGGCGUAAAGGGUACGUAGGCGGGUAAGCAAGUUAGAAGUGAAAUCCUAUAGCUCAACUAUAGUAAGCUUUUAAAACUGCUCAUCUUGAGGUAUGGAAGGGAAAGUGGAAUUCCUAGUGUAGCGGUGAAAUGCGCAGAUAUUAGGAGGAAUACCGGUGGCGAAGGCGACUUUCUGGCCAUAACCUGACGCUGAGGUACGAAAGCGUGGGUAGCAAACAGG
This 402-nucleotide ribosomal RNA is filed under the name bacterium. RNAcentral describes it as "partial 16S ribosomal RNA". It matches the Rfam family "Bacterial small subunit ribosomal RNA", at positions 355 to 776 of the family's 1533-position model. The record is from RNAcentral.